CACCUCUGCCUUUCCCUAUCACUUCCUAAGUCCAGUUUCCUCGGUUCAACUCCAAAGCCCUGAAGGAUAGGGGUCCAACCUUCAUUCUCCGUCUUGUGCUCUUAUUAGAACUAAGGCAGUCCUCAUGGACUCAUUUCACCGUAUUUAUUUUUGCAAAACGCACCCAACUGUUUGGUGAGAAAGCUAUCCAGCCACCUGCAUUUCUCUGGUCCUAAGAGAUCUGUUUGGAGACCUCUCAAACAAAUAUUUCAGUUGUCAACAUGACGUGAAGAGGUAAACCCUACAUGAAUAAGAGAUGAUAAUGCUUUAUCGCACAAGAGUAAUGCUGACUCUCCUUCUUGCCUGACACAGAUUGGAAAUGGGAUCGCUGAGGCUGUGGUUGGAAGGAGCCCAAUUUUAAGAGAGUUUUCUGACCUUUGUUUCUCCCUGUUUUCCAGGAUGGGGAUGGGAGAGAGAGAGAAAAAGAGAGAGUGUGUGCGUGCGUGUGCGUGUGCGUGUGCGUGUGUGUGUUGUGGGAGGGGUAGUUCCCCUGAGUCUGCAUUUUAGCCUUUCAUAUUCAUCCACAAGGUGCAGUCCUGAGUUCAGAGCAGGAGGCCUCCUCUCUUAGCUCUGGCUUUUUGGGUCCUUCCAGGUCCCAUGAAAGGGUUUCUAGGGACUUCAGUGCAGAGAUGUGCACAGAGCUGAUAAAAACGGGGCAAGGAACAGAACACGUGUGGCUUUUCCAGCAGGGAUGGUUCUUGUUUAAACUUUGGUUUUACAUUUGUUUUGAUAUUUGAAUUUGAAGGAAGGCCAGGAAAGAGGAAAAUCUGCAAUUAUAACUGCUCCUUAUUCUGUUAAAAUGAAGCUCUAAGAUGAAAUGGUAGGUUAAAACAAAGGCAAAACAGCAAUAGGCUCUGGGAUCAAGAGACCUGGGUUCCAGUUCAGGUUCUGUAACUGAGCAGGACCCUCUUGGGACACGUCCCUUGCCCCCAUCCCUUGCUUCAGCUCCUCUCUGAAGUACCUAGAUAAUAGUACCUGAUGUAGAUUUCCUGAGCUAUUUUACAGCACUUAUUGAAGGGACCGUCUUUUCUCCAUUGUAUAUUCUGGCCUCCUUUAUCAUAGAUUAGUUGACCACAGAUGCUUGGGUUCAAUUCUUGGCUUUCUAUCCUGUUCCACUGAUCUGUAUUUCUGUUUUUGUAUCAGUGCCAUACUAUUUUGAUGACUGUAGGUUUAUUGUACAGUCUGAAGCCAGGGACCCUGAUUUUUCCAGUCUGUUUUUCUUUCUCAAGAUUGCUUUGGCUAUUCAGGGUCUUUUGUGUUUCCAUUUGUACAAUGAAGAGGGUAGAAUUCAUGCUUUUGCCCUCUAGUCUGGUGCUGUUCAAUGAAGCUCCCCCCAGGGAUGGAAACAUUCUAUAACUGUGCCACCCAAGAUGGUAACCAUUAGCCAGACAGAGGUGAUGAAAUGUGGCUAGCAAGACCAGGAAUUGAAUUUUAACCUUAUUGAAUUUUAAUAAAUUUGAAUGCAAAUUAGUAAAUAGCCCCACAUGGCUAGUGGCUACCAUAUUGAAUAGCACACUCCCAGAUUCUGGGAAUCUACCAUGAGGAUUCCCAGACUAAAACUAUCUGUGUCCAUCUAUAGGUGGCAUUGGAAGGACAUUGUUAAGAGCAAUUAUAACACCAGCAGAUUCUAAUACCUGUGAAGUCAAGGAUCUUUUCUCUCUUGUUGUGUUUUCUCUCUAGAGCCUUGUGCACUAUGCGGCACAUAAUUUAUGAUCAAUAACAUUUGAGUGAACGAAUUAAUAAUCAUUCCCUGGGAUUCUUUCUUCUUUCUUCCUACCAGAUGCCUGAAAUUUCUCUAAAAGCAAAUAAAUCUGGAAGCUUUUGCAUUGUGGUAUCCACAAUUCAUCUUUUAAAAUGCAGCUACCUUGGUAAAGGUAUUGCAAUAAAGCCAUUAUUAGCAGCCUGCCUGCAUUCAUCUAUCUGAUUAGUGGAGCCCUGAAAGGGGUCAUACAAAGAAGAAGGCCAUUUUGAAAGUAGAGGGGGAAGGGAAAUGCUACAAUUCAAGGAGGUUAUGUUUUGUGUAAUGUUAUGUAUUUCCUUGUGUUGUCACGUGUGUCAGUCUAAGAACUUCUGGUUGUGUUUUGGCAUAGAUGUAUGCAAUAUACAGAUGGGAUUUCUGCAUCAUUAGAGAGUUGGGCCUCAUAUGACAGAAAUAAUAGUGAUAAUAAUAAUAAUAAUGUAGAAGAGGCGAAUUUCCCCUUCUUUUCCUUUUAGUUCUUUUGACUGGCAAUUAAAAUGACAUAAGGCAGUGGUUUCCAUGGUCCUUGCAUCAUUUCACUUAAGAGUCAAAGUCCUGGGAAAGAAUCUGAUUGGUUGAUAUUAGGUCAUGUGCCUGUCCCUACCUUAUUGGGGUUGUGAGAAAAAAUGAUCUGGCAGCAAUACCUAGCACACAAUAGCUGUUCCCUAUAUGAGCAGCUAUUGUUAUUAUUUUUGCCUUUCUCCUCUCUGUGCCUUAUUAUCUGUAACUCAGUGAAUCAUCUUAGAAUGUCUUUGCAACGUGGUUAUCCUGAAAACACCCACCUCAACACCCACCAGCUAAAUUUGCUUCUUCCCUAGCAACAAUAUAUGCAAUUUAGGUGUUAAACAGUGUGAUAACAGUUAUUUCAGUUCUUGCCAUAGUGUUUACCAAUUUUUAGAAGUCUUGCCCCCAGGUACUAUCACUCUAUGAAAAUGCUGCUCUAAGUUACUCUUCCUAAUACAACAAGCCAGAGCCUUAUCAGCUCUUCUGGCUGCUCACCCUAUUGGAAGCACAGCCAGGUCUUAACCAGUGGGGAAAGGAGCCUGGGAACAGGGCCCGUCAGGGGUGGAUCCUGAAGGGGUAGAGCCUGAUGGGGCAAACUGUUGGUUGGCAGAUCAGCCAGCUCAUAAACAGGCCCUAGAUCUUGCCUUCCUUUGGGCCUCAAAGUUGCACUUUGACACUUACUUUAAAAUGAUUCAUCAUUCUCAUCAAAACAUCAUGUUCAUGUAUUAUCUGAACAAAUAACUGAAAAAAUUCCACUACUGACAGUUAUACAAAGAGUAGAGCACUGCCUCUCCAGUCCCUCUAAAUAGUUUUGUCUUUUUCCCUCUAAUUUCCAUUUAAGGUCAGACUGGAGCAGGUGCCCCUCACCAUGACCACCCCCUCUAGCCCUUGCACACCUCUGCCAAAUCUUGGACAGGUUGGAUUAGCUUUGAAAGGGAAAGAGGUUUGGAGUUCCUGUAAUGGUACAGUGGUUAACGAAUCCGACUAGGAACCAUGAGGUUGUGGGUUCGAUCCCUGGCCUUGCUCAGUGGGUUAAGGAUCCGGCAAUGCUGUGAGCUGUGGUGUAGGUUGCAGAAGCGGUUCGGAUUCCAUGUUGCUGUGGCUCUGGUGUAGGCUGGCAGCUACAGCUCCAAUUGGACCCCUAGCCUGGGAACCUCCAUAUGCUGUGGGAGCAGCCCUAGAAAAGGCAAAG
RNAcentral lists this long non-coding RNA (3473 nucleotides) under Sus scrofa (pig). RNAcentral describes it as "lncRNA (ENSSSCG00055014817.1)". Lineage: Eukaryota; Metazoa; Chordata; Mammalia; Artiodactyla; Suidae. The record is from RNAcentral.